RNAcentral lists this transfer RNA (72 nucleotides) under Cavia porcellus (domestic guinea pig). It matches the Rfam family "tRNA". Rfam says of the family: Transfer RNA (tRNA) molecules are approximately 80 nucleotides in length. Their secondary structure includes four short double-helical elements and three loops (D, anti-codon, and T loops). Further hydrogen bonds mediate the characteristic L-shaped molecular structure. tRNAs have two regions of fundamental functional importance: the anti-codon, which is responsible for specific mRNA codon recognition, and the 3' end, to which the tRNAs corresponding amino acid is attached (by aminoacyl-tRNA synthetases). tRNAs cope with the degeneracy of the genetic code in two manners: having more than one tRNA (with a specific anti-codon) for a particular amino acid; and 'wobble' base-pairing, i.e. permitting non-standard base-pairing at the 3rd anti-codon position. Lineage: Eukaryota; Metazoa; Chordata; Mammalia; Rodentia; Caviidae. The record is from Rfam by way of RNAcentral.
AGGGGUGUAACUUAGUGGUAGAGUGUUUCCCUAACAUGUGUAAGGCUCUGGGUUUGAUUCCCAGCAUUGCAA